RNAcentral lists this ribosomal RNA (253 nucleotides) under uncultured bacterium. Its description in RNAcentral is "partial 16S ribosomal RNA". It matches the Rfam family "Bacterial small subunit ribosomal RNA", at positions 524 to 776 of the family's 1533-position model. The record is from RNAcentral.
UACGUAGGGUGCAAGCGUUAAUCGGAAUUACUGGGCGUAAAGCGUGCGCAGGCGGCUUUGUAAGACAGAUGUGAAAUCCCAGGGCUCAACCUUGGAACUGCAUUUGUGACUGCAUCGCUGGAGUGCGGCAGAGGGGGAUGGAAUUCCGCGUGUAGCAGUGAAAUGCGUAGAUAUGCGGAGGAACACCGAUGGCGAAGGCAAUCCCCUGGGCCUGCACUGACGCUCAUGCACGAAAGCGUGGGGAGCAAACAGG